AAAGCUCGUAGUUGGAUUUCGGAGCACUCACGAUGCUGACCGAUGAAACGUCGUGUUCGGCGCGUGGGUCUCCUCUUCUUGGGGAUUCAAGUGGGUGGCGGGUAAAACCGUCAUUCGCUCCCCAUCGUUUACUUUAAGAAAAUUGGAGUGCUCAAAGCAGGCACAACCCUGCCUUGAACAAUGCAGCAUGGGAUAAUAGAACAGGACGAAGGUCCUAUUUUGUUGGUUUAUAGGGCUUUUGUAAUGAUUAAAAGGGACAGUUGGGGGCAUUCGUAUUCAAUUGUCAGAGGUGAAAUUCUAGGAUUAAUUGAAGACGAACUACUGCGAAAGCAUUUGCCAAGGAUGUUUUCAUUAAUCAAGAACGAAAGUAGGGGGAUCGAAGAUGAUCAGAUACCGUCGUAGUCUCUACCAUAAACGAUGCCGACCAGGGAUCCGGAGAAGUUACGUGGAUGACUCCCCGGGCACCUUGUGAGAAAUCAUA
RNAcentral lists this ribosomal RNA (481 nucleotides) under Echinamoeba sp. CRIB-29. RNAcentral's name for it is "bacterial SSU rRNA". It matches the Rfam family "Eukaryotic small subunit ribosomal RNA", at positions 623 to 1102 of the family's 1831-position model. Lineage: Eukaryota; Tubulinea; Echinamoebida; Echinamoebidae. The record is from RNAcentral.